RNAcentral lists this unclassified non-coding RNA (192 nucleotides) under uncultured Cladophialophora. Its description in RNAcentral is "sequence contains ITS1". Lineage: Eukaryota; Fungi; Ascomycota; Eurotiomycetes; Chaetothyriales; Herpotrichiellaceae. The record is from RNAcentral.
ACGAGUUAGGGUCUUCUAGGCCCGACCUCCCAACCCUAUGUUUAUUGAACCUCUGUUGCUUCGGCGGACCCGUCUCAUGACCGCCGGAGGACCGCCGAAAGGCGUCCUCUGGCCAGCGUCCGCCGAUGGCCAACCACUUAAAACUCUGAAUGAAUCGUGUCAUAUGUCUAAGUCUAUGAUUAAAUUAAAGCA